Molecule: non-coding RNA, 170 nt
Filed under: pig gut metagenome
Description: Lysine riboswitch
Rfam family: Lysine riboswitch aptamer
About the family: Riboswitches are metabolite binding domains within certain messenger RNAs that serve as precision sensors for their corresponding targets. Allosteric rearrangement of mRNA structure is mediated by ligand binding, and this results in modulation of gene expression.
Source: RNAcentral
UGAGUAGAGGUGCGGUUUCCAAGAGUACCCCACAGGAUAACUUAGAUUAGAUGAUUGUGGGCAAAAGGGGAGGUCGCCGAAGGGUAUGUUUGACUAAGCAUAUGUACCCUGGUUUUGCAGUUAAGAGCUGCACGACUGUCAUCGUUAUUAUACGUAUGGAGCGCUACUUU